AACCACAACCUACACUAAGUCUAGAGAAUUAAGCAUAAAUCCACUCAAAUAGCCCAACAUCACAACAAAGACUUGGAUUAUUAACAGAGAAUACCAUUGACUAGCCCGAACUCAUCAUCCUGAGAAAAACACCUUUAACUAUCAUACCCUCCUUGAAAACAUACAAGUGUAGAAAGGUUAUUAACAAAUUCUAUUUGCCUAUUAAGCAGCAUAACUUUGUAAGUUGAUCUGAUUGUAUAUCUAACAUCAUCCUCACCCAGCCAUAUCCACUGAUUUUCUUCAAUAAAGAUAGAUUUUACAUGUUGUACCUCUUCCAGCAGAUUCUACACUAAACUAAGCUCUCAGUCAAAUCAUUAUCUUCUUCACUUAAGCUCCCACACCCACCUAGACUCAGUCCACCUAUCCAUUAUACCCAUGUUAGCCUCUUUUGCAAUAGAUAGAUGGUAUAACCUUUGGUAAUUUUUUAUUAAAGUCGUUUGGCCCAACCACCUAUCCUCCCAAAAAUUUAUUUUGAAACCAUUCCCCCACUUCCCGUCUAACGUUUUCUCUAAACCAUUGAUCAUUAUACAUCUCACUACUGACUUUUGUAAUAUUCCUCCAUCAUAUACUCAUUCUUUGUAACCACCCUACUAUCAAGCAUCCUCCAUGACCCUUAGAUUUCAUCACAUCUUUCCACAGGCCAAAAUUUUCAAUUCUUAAGCGACAUUUCCACUUAGCGAGCAGAGCAAUAUAGAACGUAUUUAUGUCUUUUACCCCAUACCUCCCUCCUUCUUUGGCCAACAAACAUUUUUCCAUUUAACCGAAGCUAUAUUUUUUCCCUUCUUACCCUAGCCUUACAAAAAUUCUCGUUGUAUCUUAUUUAUCACAUUUAUGAAUUUCUUCGGAAUUAUGAACAUAGACAUGUAAAUUAGGGGUAUGGCUGUUAACACAAACUUAAAAGGGCAUAACCUAGCUAUUGGUAGCAUCGUUCCUUUCUAUAUGGAUAGUUUUCUCUUUAACUUCAAAAGGACCAGCUCCCAAAAGCUUAACUUCUUAGGUUUCCCCCAACACACAUACCCAUAUUUCAAUAAUAUUUCAUAUUAAAAGACAGACACUUAUGAAUAUUUAUUGAUAAAUAAUUAUAAUUUAACUCUUAAUUUAUGAAUUUAAACUUUUUUACAUAUUUUGUGAUUAUAAUAUGAAUAAGAACUAUUUAUUCCCAAUUUUCUGUUAAUUUUAGGAUUCUAGGGGAAAAUGGAGAUGAAAGGGCUAAAGGAGAAUAUACAAGAAGAAAAGGGAAAGUCAGAACAUUCAAAACUCGUCCAAACUCACCCAGGCCAUAUCACUCCAGAGGAACUCGCCCAAGGCUCACCUAGGCGAGUUCAUUCUGGAGAAGUUGAGCUUUUUUUCUCGUCAAACUCGCCCAAGAAAGUAAUAACUCGCCUAGGCAAGAAGUCACUUAGCCCAAACCUAACUACGUUAAAUAUGAGGUGUGAGAUAUAACUCUAAACAUCAUUAAGAGAAUAGAAGGAGAUAGAAAACCCUAAAGGAGAAACAUCCUGGAUCUUCUUUUCAUGCUUGUAAUGACCAACAUGAGUGACUAAUUCUACCCUUUGGGAUUGAGAGUAAUUUGUUCAAACUCUUAUGUGUCGAAGUGAUAUUUAAACAUAAUAUUUUGUCUUGAUUGAUGAUUGGUAUUGUCAUUUUAUUCUUAACGCUUGAAUUAUCAUGAUUUUGAUGCAUAGAUUUGACUCUGAAAAGUACUUUUAAGCAUCUGACAUAAAUGAUAGUGCUUAACAUAUUUGAAUGUUAGGAAUAGAUUUGAAAUGUUAAUUGUUAUCAACAUUUGUUCGUAAUGAUAAGGAGUUUUUAUAAAUAUGCGAGGAAUCUAUAUUUAGGAGACUAUCUUAAUAAUUUUAUAUGCAAGGAAUCAAUAUAAAUGAAUUUUAUAUGGGCAUCAAUAUCAAUCAAAGAUAGAAUAUUACAUGCUUUUCAAAAUACAAAAUAGUGAGAAUGAUGAACCCCAAUCCCAAUUUUCCCAAUUGAAUCAAACAACUAUUUACUUUGCUUUAUUUACAUUCUUGCAAUCUCAUACAAACUUCCAACAAACUUUUAUAUAUUAUUUUCUAUUUAGUAAAUAUUAUACUUGUGAAUUCAAAUGUUCCUUGUAGGUUCAAUAUCCAAUCUUAGGGACAAAUUUAUUACUUCUGACAUGGUACACUUGCCGUAAAAUAGUAAUCAUGCAUAUGUUAAUUUGACUAAUAUCAACCUCUAACCCAACAACCUUACUCUUUAGAAAAUUCAAUUUCAGAUCGGAAGCCAACUCAAAACACCUUAAGAUGAUUUUUACUGUUAUGAUGUUAAGAAUAUUGUUUUUAGUGAAAAAAAUGGUAUUGUCCGCAAACUGAAGAUUGUUAAUUUCAACUUCUUUUUCACCCAGUUUAACCCUUUUUAACAACUUGUUUUUUUCUUUCCUCUCUCACAGGCCUAGUUAAACCCUCCAGAACAAUGAGAAACAAAAAGGAUGAUAAUGGAUCCAUUUGCCUAAACCCUUUUGAUGAAGUAAACUUCUUGGAUGCACUACCAUUUACUAAAACAUAUAAGGUUGUUGACUAUAAGCAUCCUUUAAUCCAAGAUAUCGACUUAUGACAAAAACCAAGUCUACCUAACUUGUAAAACUAUUGACAGAGUCAUAUGCCUUUUCAAAGUCUAUUUUUACAACAACCUCUUUUCUUCUCUUACACCUUAAUUCCUCCACAACCUCACUAGCCACAAUAAUGUUGUCUAAUAACCCUCUUCCUCCUAAAAAGGUUGCCUGAGAGAAGUCAAUGACAUUUUGUAGAGCCUUUUUCAACCUAAUGGACAUAUGUUUCACACGAAUCUUAUAUAUGCACCCAACCAUCGAGAUAAGCCUAUGUUCCUCUAGGCCUUGUGGAUUUUCAUUCUUAGGAAUUAAGGUUAUAAAUAAAACAUUACCUCUUUUUGGCCACCUUGACGUUCUAAAGAACUCAUUGCUAAUUCCAUGAUAUAACCCUUCAAGUAUUCCCAAACUUUCUUUAUAAAGGAAAAAUGAAACUCAUAUACGGUCCUAGGCUCUUACAACUAUCACAGAUCCAUACUACAUCUCUAAUAUCUUUUACAAUAAACACUUCUACCAACUUCUUGUUAACCUCAUUAGAUAUAGAUUUAAAUUCCACAUUUUCCAACUACACUCUUCCUACAGACUCUUCCUUAAACCUCUUUUUGAAUACUCUUCACCCCUCCCCCCUCCCACCUAAUUGGGAUCUUCAUUCCACUGACCAUGAACCUUAAGACCCUUAAAACUUAUUUUUUAACCUUCUCCACUUUAACAACGUAUGAAAAAAAAAAAAGAUUUUGAAUCCCCAACUUCCAGCCAUUUAAUUUUUUAUUUCUGCUUAGCUAUAAGUUCCUUUAUAUGGUUUAACUGGUUAAGUUAUGCAAAAAGCUUCAUUCUCUUUGAAGCUCCCUUCUCAUCUAACCCACUAUUUUCUUGUUUUAAAUCAAGAACUUCUAUCAUUUGUAUUAUUCUCUUUUGUUCCAACUCUACAAUACCAAAAACAUCUUUAUUCCAAAUCUUUAAAUCAUUCUUCAACACUUUCAAUUUUUCAAUACGACCCCUCCACCUCCCUUUGUAUGAAUCUCAUUUGUUUUUCACAAAAUCAUGAAACCCUUGUCUAUUUUCCAAGCAUCUAACAACUUAAAUGGCCUUGGCCCCAAUCCACCUGUUUAGUUUUAAGAAUAAGUGCAAAAUGAUCCAAAAUUGACCUUUGUAGGAUGAAUUGCCUACUAUCUGGCCAAACAUCCAACCAGUCACUAGAUACUAAGUAAACUUCCUCCUAACCAUAGGUAUUUCUAACAUUUAUAGUCCUUCUAUAAACUUAUUAAACCUUUUUAUCUCUCUUUUUGAUUGAUAAACAUUGAUUUUCCCUCUUCUUUCCUUUUCCUCCCUAUAAGGUUUUCUUCUCUACAACUUACAUUAAGAAUACACAUUCACAAUCAAGAUGAUAAUUUCUUUUGUCCUUAGUUUUCUCUAUGACUACUAAAAAACCUCUACCAAUAAUAGAUUGUUGCAAUCCAAACCUAUCAUUAUUCCAAAUUGUUAAUAUUCCUCAUCCCCAUUUACCAUUGGUACUUGUUGCCAUUCAAUAUUCCUACCUCCCCAAAUCCUAUAACACUUUUCAUCAGUUACAUCCCCAAUCUAGGUUUCUUGAAUAUACAUAAAAUCGACCCCUUUUUACAUACUAAAUCCCUGUAUAACUACCUUUUAUUGUUGCUCCAAUCCCUCUUAUAUUAUGAUUUAUUAUCCUUAACAAACACUUUUCAUUUCCCCUCCUUUAUUAUUUUGUAACCUAGUCUUAUCCCUCUCCUCCAUAUUUUCAAAAUUCUUGAGGACAUCCUCCUCAUUACCAGCACAUGUAACCCCUAUUGUUUUCCCACUUCUCAUAAUCUAACAUUAUCUAUGAGGUCACUUCUAUUUUAGAACAAUUUAUUGCAAUUAAUUAUAUCAUUUUCAGAAAUGGAAUUACUAAAAUCUUGUUAAGCUAACCUCAAUCUCCUUCAAUCGACCACCUUUGAUGUCACGGGGUUCCUCAAAUUGCUUGAUUAUAAGAAUUGCUCCCCUUCUGAAAUAUUACGAUAUAGAUAAGAACAAAACUCCCUUGUAUUCACUUUUAAUUUUAACUUAAAAUGAGGGAUGAGUAACCUUGUUUGGGAAAAAUGUUAAGUAUUCCAACCUAGGAAUAUCUUAACCACAUGACUUUCCUUGUUUGAUUACAAAUUUUCAAGGCUUGGUAUUUAUACAAGGAGUUAAGUUCACAUGUAAGCAAAACUUUGAGCUUAAUACAAUAAAGAAAUGUGUAAAAAGUUUGAGCUUAAUACAAUAAAGAAAAUGUGUAAGUAGUCUAAUUCUUCUUCUUUCUUGUAGAGUUCUCAUUUUCAGUAGAGACUUAAGUUACGAUUCUUCUCUUCUUUAUUUAUCUCCUGAAGAUUUGGAGUGAAUAAAAGUUCAUCCUGAAAGCUUCCCAAAGUGAAUCCAAAUUCGAUCAAAGAUAAGACAUUAUCUUCUUGGUAUUUGUUUUCAAUUAUUGUCACUCUUUUUGGUAAGAGUAGAACCUUUUAUUUAAGGUAUAAUUAUUUAAAUCAAUGAGUAAUAAUAAUACAAAAGUAUAUUAAUUAUUUGGAAGUGUGAAACUAACUACGAGUAUAAGAAACUAAGUAUUUCCGACUAACUUCUAAAACUUUUCAUAAUUGUAUAUUGGUCCCUGAAUUUUUUUAAUUACAAUUUGGUCCUUAAAUGUUUAUAUUAACUACAAAUUGGUCCUUGUUUAACUUUUAUUAUUCAUAACUUAGUCCUUACUCGCUUUUAAUAAUUAUAUUUUAACCACUAUCUAGUUUUUAAUAUUUGCAAAAUUAGAUUCUUGAUCAACUAAUUAAGUGGAUUUUUAUGAUACUUUAUAAUCAAUAUAAAUUACAUAAAUUAAAAUUUUAAUAAGUAAUGUUUUGGAUGCUUAUAUUUUAAUAAAAUGUGUUCAUGAUGGAAUGAAAUAACAAUAUUGGUACACAAAAUUAGAUAUUUUGGGUGAAUUGGUAGAAGAAUUUAAAAAAUAUAAUUCAUUAAAAAGUUGCGCCAUACAACACCCAAAAUAUAUUAAUUAUUAAAUUGUUAUGUUUUACUUUCUCCUUAACUUGAAAAGUUUAGUUUACAUUUUUUAAUUGUGAAAUGAAGUAGUUUACGAAAGUUUUUAACUUUUUAUGCUACAAUAGUAAUUUAAAUAUGUAAAAGAAAACUUAAGUAUGAAUAAAACAUAAAUAAAGAAGUAAAAAAAAUCAGAAAAUCAAUUAUAAAUUAACUUGUAAAUGGAUUAGUUAGUGGAUUGUUUAAGCAUUUUUGGACAAAGAAUACCAGGUGUGCCAUUUCGCAAAUUAAACAAAUUAGGUCAAGUCCAUUUGUUUCAGUUUUUUGCCCAAAAAAAAAGAUUUUUCUUACAACAAUAUUACUAUUCAUGCUAAUACAAGUCUAGGGUUGUUUCUUCCUGCACCUCCAUAUAUUCUUCUCUCACCUCCUUAAAUUUUCAUAUUUCCAAAAAUACCCCUCUGUAAUAUUCUAGAUUACGUAAUUUGGAAGUCUUUUUUUCAAAUUCGUAAUUAGUUUUCAGAUUACAUAAUUCAGAAACCUUUUUCUAUAUGCUUGAUUAGCUUCUGAAUUAUGUAAUUCGGAAGUCUUUUUUAGCUUUUGAAUUACAUAAUCCAAAAGUCUUUUUUCAAAUGUGUGUCCAGAUUAUACAAUUCAGAAAAUACACUAUGGAGGUGGUACAAGAAGGAUAAAAAGGUAUUUUCACGCUGUGUAUGAGAUGACAGAAGAACUUAUAGAGGUGGAGGAAGAAACAGUCCAAGUCUAGAAGUAUUGGAUAAGUUUAAAAACCCUUUCUUUAGAUAAAUUUUGUCCAUGUGUAAUUUGCAAAGGUGAAUAUGAUUUUUUUUUCUUAUUACUUUUUUUCCUUUUGUAACUCAAAAACUCUAUAAGUAACGAAUCUUCUCCCUUAUUUUCUUCUUCUUCCAAUUUAGGGUUUAUGGUUAAAUUAACGUAUGAUGAGUAGUUUCCUCUGCGAAAAAUAUAAUAUUAAAUAUAUUUUACGUACUUGCAUCAUAGUCUAUGAAACAAAAAAGUAAUUCAAUAAUUUAUUCAAAUCAUUACAAGUAAGCGUUCGACGAAUAAUUCUCUUUUGUCAUUUCUCAAAAUAUAUCAAAGUUAUAAUUUCACGAAUAAAAACUAUUCAUCUUCAUAAUUAAUUCAGAUUUGUAAACAGAUGAACUUCAUUCAGUUAACGAUAGAAAACAAGUUUCUUAAAGUUUUUGUUUUAGAAUGUUACCUUAAUAUUUUCUGAUGCAUCAUAUCUCUCUUGAUUUUGUCUUCUAACGGUUGAUUUUGGCUUAAUCUUAAGUCCCACAUCGGUGGGUUUAUUAUUUGGAAAGGAGGUUUGAGGGUUAUAAAUUAACCUCUCCUCCUUCACUGUUAUAUAUCCCAAUUUGUAAUAUCUUCUCCCAUAAUAAUAAAAGUGGGUUGUUUCAGCUGUGCUCGGAGAUUAGGCUAAAGUGGCCGAACUCCGUUAACAAUUUUCUGGUAUGUUUUUUCCUCUUUAUCUUUUUUAUUAUUCCGUUCUGUUUAUUCAAUAUCAUUUGUCGGGUAGCUCUGUUAGUGUUCUGUUUUAGUGGGAAAAUUAUCCGUUUUGCCCAACAAGUGGUAUCAAGAGCCGAAGGUUCGCCCUUGGUUUGUUUGAAAUUAUUUGUAAUAUUGAAUACUAUAUUUUGAGUUUGUAAUGACAAAUCAAGAAGAAGAAGAAGCGAAGGAUGUAUCUAGAGUGUCGGACUCCUCGUCAUCAUGGUCGAGGUUCUCGAUGUCCACUUUGAAAUUGGCGGUGGAAAUAUUUGAUGGCAUUGGACAUUUUGGCAUGUGGCAAGGAGAGGUCUUGGACUCUCUUUUUCAGUAGGGUCUUGAUAUUGCUAUUGAAGGAGAGAAACCAAAAUAGGUAGAGGAGAAGUUUCGAUCCGCCAAACCAGUUGGCAUGCAGAACUAUUCGAUCCUGCCUAUAAGUAUGCUGUAAAAAAACGAGACUUCUGCAUACAAACUGUGGAAGGCAUUGGAGGACAAGUUUCUGAAGAAGAGUGGUCUGAACAAACUCCUGAUGAAAAAAAGGUUGUUCCGAUUUGACUACCAACAAGGUACUACUAUGAAUGCACACAUCACUAUGUUUAAUGAAUUAGUAGCAGACUUGUUGAAUUUAGAUGUGAAGUUUGAGGAUGAGGAUUUGGCUUUGAUGUUGUUAUCAUCUCUUCCUGAUGAAUUUGAACAUUUGGAGACUACGCUUCUUCACGGGAAGGAGAAUGUGUCGUUAGAUGUUGUUUGUUCUGCUUUAUAUAGUCAUGAAUUGAGAAAACAGGAUAAGAUGAAAAUCAAAUCAACGACAUCAGAAGAAACAUUGGUGGCAAGAGGUCGUCAGCAAAGCCAAACAAAUGGGAGAAGAGGGAGGUCUAAGUCUAAAGGUCGAGCCGUUGCCAAAGAUGAGUGUGCUUUCUGUCAUGAGAAAGGACACUGGAAGAAAGACUGUCCAAAAUUGCAGAAGAAAGGGAAGGCUCCGCAAGAUGCAAAUGUUGCAUAAUGCAAAAGUGAUGUGGAAUCAAAUAUCUCUUUAAUUGUCUCGCUUUCAGCAUCAUCGUAUCCAGAUGAGUGGAUAUUGGAUUCAGGUUGUACCUAUCAUAUGUGUCCCAUUCAGGAAUGGUUCUUUGAAUUUCAAGAACUUGAUGGCGGGGUUCUUUACAUGGGUAAUGAUAAUCCAUGUAAGACAACUGGGAUAGGUUCAAUCAAGCUGCGAAAACAUGAUGGAUCCACCAGAAAUUUGCGGGAUGUACGGUACGUGCCAAAGUUGAAGAAGAAUCUCAUCUCAUUGGGGGCUUUAGAAUCUAAAUGCCUAGUUGUGAUGAUGCGAGAUGAAAUUCUUAAAGCAACUUCAGGAGCACUGGUGAUGUUGAAAGGCGUGAGGAAGAACAAUUUGUAUUACUAUCAAGGUAGUACAGUGGUGGGGAUAGUAGCGGCAUCAACUUCUGGCACUAAGAAGGAUGACGAGGCAACGAAGUUGUGGCAUAUGAGAUUGGGACAUGCUGGAGAGAAAUCCUUGCAAAUUCUUACCAAGCAGAGAUUGUUGAAAGGUACAAAGGCUUGCAAACUUGAAUUUUGUGAGCAUUGUGUUAUGGGAAAACAACGACGAGUGAAGUUUGGCACUGCAAUUCACAAUACCGAGGGUAUUAUGGAUUAUGUGCAUUCAGAUGUGUGGGGACCUGCCAAGACUCUAUCAAUCGAAGGUAGGCAUUAUUUUGUCACUUUUGUGGAUGAUUUUUCCAGGAGAGUUUGGGUGUUUACUAUGAAGAACAAAAUGAUGUGCUUGAAAUUUUCCUUAAGUGGAAAGCUCAAGUUGAAAACCAGACAGGAAGGAAGAUUAAGGUUCUCCGAACAGACAAUGGAGGAUAAUAUAAGAGUGAUCCGCUCCAAGAUUGUGGCAUAGUUUGGCACUUCACUGUUAGAAAAACACCACAGCUGAAUGGGGUGUCAGAGCGUAUGAACAAGUCACUUGUGGAGAAAGUUCGUUGUAUGCUGUCUAAUGCUGAGUUAGGCAGAGAGUUUUAGGCUGAGGCUGUGACAUACGCUCAACAUUUCGUCAAUCGUUUGCCAUCAUCUACUAUAGAUGGCAAAACCCCGUUAGAGGUAUGGUCUGGAAAACCUGCAACUGAUUAUGAUUCUUUGCAUGUUUUUGGUUCUAUUGCAUAUUAUCAUGUGAUUGAAUCAAAGUUGGAUCCAUGGGCAAAGAAGGCUCUUUUCAUGGGCUUUAGUCCUGGAGUGAAGGGAUACCGUUUGUGGUGUCUAGAGGCAAAGAAAACGAUUAUCAGCAGGGAUGUUACCUUUGAUGAAUUUGCCAUGUUAAAGAAGGUAAAUGCAGAAGGAGCUAACAGUACUCCGCAACAGGUGGAGUGUGCCCGGAAGCAGGUGGAGUUUGAGCAAACAGUGGUGAUCCUAACACGAAAUACCACAAGUGACUCUCCUAUGGAAGAGUCAGAUGAGAAAGAGGUUCCUACCCAAGAAUCUCAACAACAAUCAGCGCCAAUUGCAGUUAGAAGACAUAGACGAGAUAUUCAUAAGCCUUCUCGUUUCAUGGAUAUGGUUGCCUAUGCACUUCCAGUUGUUGAUGACAUUCCAUCCAUUUACCCAGAAGUCAUUCUGAGUUCAGAGAGUGGUAAUUGGGCUGGUGCGAUGGAAGAGGAGAUGCAGUCUUUGAAGAAGAACAAGACGUGGAAGCUGGCACAAUUACCAAAAGGUAAGAAGGCAAUUGGGUGCAAAUGAGUAUUUGCAAAGAAAUAAGGAUUUCCUAAUAAAGAAGAUGUUCGCUACAAGGCAAGGUUGGUUGCUAAAGGCUUUGCUCAAAGGGAGGGAAUUGAUUAUGGCGAGGUAUUUUCUCCAGUUGUUAAACAUUCCUCCAUUCGAAUCUUGUUGGCCUUGGUAGCAUAGUUGAUUUUGGACCUAGCUCAACUUGAUGUAAAGAUCGCGUUCCUACACAGUGAUUUGAAGGAGGAAAUCUAUAUGACUCAACCAGAAGGAUACAAGGUUGCUGGUAAAGAAGUUUGGGUUUGUAAACUUAGCAAAUCGUUGUACGGACUGAAACAAUCUUCGAGAAAGUGGUACAAACGAUUUGAUAAGUUCAUGAAGGAUCAAAAGUACAAGAGAAGCAAAUAUGAUCACUGUAUGUAUUUGUGUAGACUUGAAGAUGGUUCCUACAUUUACUUACUCGUAUAUGUUGAUGAUAUGCUGAUUGUAGCAAAGAGCCAAGUUGAGAUUGACAGGUUAAAGGCUCAGUUGAGUAAAGAGUUCAAGAUGAAGGAUUUGGGGGAAGCCAAGAAGAUUCUCGGCAUGGAGAUAAACAGGGACAGAGAGAGGGGAAAACUUUGGCUGUCAUAGAAGCAGUAUUUGCAUAAGGUACUACAACGUUUUGGUAUACACGAAGAUACAAAACCUGUAAGUACCCCACUUGCUCCUCAUUUGAAAUUGAGUAGUCGUUUAUCUCCGACGACUGAUGAAGAACGAGAAUACAUGGCGAAAGUCCCAUAUGCAAAUGCAGUUGGAAGCUUAAUGUAUGCAAUGGUGUGUACGAGACCAGAUGUUUCACAGUCUGUGAGUGUUGUUAGCAAGUACAUGCAUGAUCCGGGCAAGGGUCAUUGGCAAGCUGUGAGAUGGAUUCUACGGUACCUCCAAAAUACCUUAGAUGUUGGAUUGGCAUUUGAGCAAGAUGAAUCAGUUGGUCAAUGCAUAGUUGGAUAUUGUGAUUUUGAUUAUGCAGGUGAUUUGGAUAAGUGACGGUCUACCACUGGCUAUUUGUUCACUUUAGCAAAAGCGUCAGUUAGUUGGAAGUCUACCUUGCAGUCUACGGUGGCUUUGUCUACGACAGAGGCAGAGUAUAUGGCGAUUACAGAGGCUGUGAAGGAAGCAAUUUGGCUUCAUGGGUUGCUUAAAGACUUGGGAGUUGGUCAGAAACAACUUGAGUUAUAUUCUGACAGCCAAAGUGUUAUUCAUUUAGCAAAGAAUCAAGUCUUUCAUGCACGGACGAAGCACAUUGAUGUUCGCUAUCACUUUGUGCGUGAGAUUCUCGAAGAAGAGGAGAUUGUUCUCCAAAAGAUUCACACUACGGAGAAUCCUGCAGAUAUGCUCACCAAGGUGGUUACAAGGGCCAAGUUUGAACAUUGUUUAGACUUGGUUAAUAUCUUGCACAUUUGAAGUUGGCGCCCGGAGGCGCAAAUUUGAAGCACUGCAAAGUUUGUUUUUGUUAUGUUUUGCAAAUAUUUGUAUUAGGUGGGACUUGAAAUUAAGCCAAGGUGGAGAUUUGUUGAUUUUGGCUUAAUCCCAAGUCCCACAUCGGUGGGUUCAUUGUUUGGAAAGGAAGUUUGAGGGUUAUAAAUUAACCUCUCCUCCUUCACUGUUAUAUAUCCCAAUUUGUAAUAUCUUCUCCCAUAAUAAUAAAAGUGGGUUGUUUCAGCUGUGCUCGGAGAUUAGGCUAAAGUGGCCGAACUCCGUUAACAAUUUUCUGGUGUGUUUUUUCCUCUUUAUCUUUUUUAUUAUUCCGCUUUAUUUAUUCAAUAUCAUUUAUCGGGUAGCUCUGUUAGUGUUCUGUUUUAGUGGAAAAAUUACCCAUUUUUUGCCAACACUAACAAUAACUGAAAUUCACAAUUUGUUCAUCUAGAAAGUUUUAUCUUGCAAAAUAGAUAUUUAUAUUUGCGUAUUUUCAAAAGAUAUAUGUAUAUACAUCCUAACGCACAUGAGAAAAGUUUUUUAUAUUAAUGAAAAAUAAUUUUUAAAUAUAAAUUUUAAAUAAAUAUAUUUUUUGUUUAUUAUAUUAAUUAUUUUUUAUUAUUUAGAUGAAUUAGAUAAAUGAUCUCAGUAAUAUUCUCAUGACUCAUUCGUAAUAAGAUAUGGGUAAAAAAUAUUAAUAUGAUAUUCUGGUUUUCAAUGAAAUUUAUAUUUUAAUUGUACUAAUAAAUUGACUAAUAAAAUACUUUAUUAAAUAUAUACAUUUUAAGAUAAUACAUGCAUACACAUUAUUACUAUUCUAAUUGAAAAAUAAUAUAUAUAUAUAUUUAAAUUUUAUUAUAAAAAUGACUUAGUUCUGACUAUUAUAUUUUAUGAGUAUUCAAAUUUAAAUAAUUUAUGUACUUCAGAAAGAAAAGAAAAACACAUUAUUAAAUAUCAAAAAACCAUCAAGCAUUGUUGAAUUUCAUGAAGGUGAUAUGAAUUAGGGAUUAAGGAGAGUUUCUUCCUACAUCCCAUACUUCAGAAAAUUCUCAAAUUAUCCGUUGACAAUUUUCAUUCAACAUUUUUUCUUUAAUUCUAGAAUGUGGAAUCCGGAGACUUCUUAAGUUAUAGAAUCCAAAAGUUAAAAUUUUUAUAUCAGAUUAUACAAUUCAGGAUAUAAAGUUUUGUAUUUCAAAUUGUAUAAUUCGAAAUACAAAUUUGUAUUUCAUAGUGUAGAAUCUGGUAUGGAGAAUUUUGAAAAUUUUGAGAGUAUGUGGGUGUAGGAAGAAAUUAUGGGAGUACAAAAAGAAAUUUACAAAAUUUUAAUCCACGCAGGCUCGGUUUAUGUAGUCCUUUUAAUUGUCCAUCAAUUCCUUAGAAGUAGUCCAUAAAAAAUCACACAAUUUUCCUAAGUCUACGACAUGAAAACCUAAUUGUUUUAACUAGUUUCCUUCUUUGUUUUGAACUCUUCUUUGGUUUUAGUUUUAAGCAAGGUUCUUAAACAUUUAAAUUGCAGUAGGCCGAGACACUUUGGAUUCGUUUCUAUAAGAAAUUAUGUAAAUUAAUAUCUAUAAAGGGACUCACAUGACUUAGAGUUUGAGUUUGGAACCCGAAUAUGAUUUAAUAAUAAUAAUAGAAUUAAAGGGUCUGUUGGUUAACGUGAGAAUAAAUAUAUGAUGAUACUUAAUGAAAAACCUACAUUUGAUGGAGAUUAGGAAUAAAAAGUUAUAGGGUUCUGUAUCUGCAAAUAAUAGUUUUCUCACUGUUAACCAUCACAAAAGUGUGUGACAAGAACAAAAUUGCUAAGAGAUAGAUUAGGACAAAGGAGACACAGUAAUUGCUCAAGUAGGAUCACUCAUGGAUCAAGGUAAGUGCCCAUUCCUUCUUGAUUGUAUGGAUAUAUGUGAGAAUCAUGAUAUGAUAAGAUUUAUAUGUGAACAUGAAUGUAUGCGUUUAUAAUCAUGUUUAAUCGUGUUUUAAUUUACAGUUUCCUCUAAUUUUUAAGUUGAAUUGUGUUCUUGAACAUGACUUGUAGAAUUGCUUUAAAUUGGGUAGAAAUAAGUCGGUGGAUAUAUAAAUAUGAAAUGCAUAACUAUAUUAUCUAAAAACAACAAAGAAAAUUAUGAAAGAGAAAUUAAGAGAAUUAGUCGAGACCUAUAAGAGCAAAGAGAAAAAAAAUAUAUAGGACAACUCACAACACAUUCACACCCUUAUAUGCAUGUUCUUACAUUUCUAGUUUUGUUUUUAAAAUGUAAAUGUACUUGUCUAUAGUUCAACUUUCUUAAUUUUUGUUUGUUUUGGUGCUCAUAUUCUAGACCUCUUCCUUAUUUGAGUGUCUUUAUUGAAAUUUGCUUUAAUUUUUGCUUGUUUUCUUUUGGAAUUUUUUUAGUUUUGUCAUCUAUAAUCUUUCAAUUGAAAUUUGUCUUCUUCAAAAUGUGCUUUUCUUGAUUUUUUUUCUUCUCACUCUACUUGGAAAUUAUUUGAUCACUCUACUUGGAAAUUAUUUGAACUCUUCCUUCCCUUGAAUAUUGAAAGAAACUCACUUCUAAAGUAGCUUUCUAGGUGUUGAUAGAAGAACUUUUUAAAGACUACCUUUUUAGGAGACUUUGGAAGAAAAGAAGAGCAUUUUGAAGAAAACAUCAUUGACUAGUGGACGAAAACAUUAAAAAAAACCCGCAAAGCAUCAAAGCCGAAUUAAUGCCAUAAUUCUCCAUCACAAAUGUAGAAAUCCAUCACUAAAGUUCUUGUUUUGUAACUUGUUCUUGUCACAAUUUUUUUUAGCAAUUUUCUUUCUUUUUCUUAAGUGUAAUCUAUCUCCAUAUAUCUGUAUAAUAGUUUCAUUUUAGACUUUUGGAAAUGUUACAACAAACUCAAAAGUAUCACUUGGACACUGGUAUAGUUUACUUUUGUUUUAGCUCUCCUUUACUUUAAGUUGUUUUACCAUUUAAUGCUUCAUAUUGGUGGCAAGACUAAGAAAGAAAAAUCUCUUGAACUAGUUAUUGUCUUUUGGUCCUAAGGAUUCUACUCACACACUUGAAAGAUUUUUUAAAUUUUUUAUAAAGAAAAUUUGUGAAACUGGUAGGAAACGUUUUAACUAAAAAAUAAUUGAUACUUAAAAGUGUGUCAUCAAAUUCUCUUUCCUGAUAAUAUACUUAGUAAACUUUCAAGAUCUUUUCCUUUUAAAGAACCUCUCUAGACAAACACAUUUGUAAAAAAGUUAUAAAAAAUCAUAUAAAAGUUGGAUUUCUAUGAAACCAAAUUCAACUUCUCCACAGUCAAAUUCUAGCCAUGUAGAGUGAACAUGUCUAUUCAUAUAAAUACAUAAGCACCCACACUAGGUUUAUUUUGAUUUUUUUUUUUCUUUUAAAAACUCCAAUUUGUUAGUAUAAAAAACCUUUAAAAAAAUAAAAAAAAUUAGAAGAUAAGUUUGAAAUGCGUUGCGAGACAAAAAUACCCCUACCGGCCCCAAAAAUACAAAAUAUUCCAGGGUGGCACACUAGUGCAUUACACGUGUUCAAUGAAUCCGUGGAACACUCGACAAGCACUUACGGUGAAUUUAAUAAUUUUUUAUAAUUGAUUAAAAUUUAUUACAAUCAACCGUUUUAAUAAAAUAAUUUUCUAUCAUCACAAAAGGUAGAAAAAUAAUCACACUCCGUACUGUAUGAUAGAUUCCAUGAUGAAUGUUAUAAAAUUUAAUUACAUAUUAUCCAUGACUUGUCUCGGUCUUUCUAUUCGAGAUGACAGAGUCACACGUUGGCACGACUCUGUUUACCUGAUCGACGAUACACAAUCAGACUGACCGACACGUAUAACUAUUAAUGCUCAAUUUAAAGUUAGUGAAACUAAAUCAUCAUUAAUGAUUAGGUAAUGUAACUCUCAGGUUCAAUGAAUUAAGUCUAUUAAAAUAAUAUAAAUAACACAUAUUCUAAUGACACAAUCUACGUCAUUUAUUAGUAUGCACCUACCUAAAUACCGAUUACUCGUUUUACUGACUUGAACGUCGAGUGUUUUCCGCAGGUACUCCGUUCGGUGUUCACCCAAAACCAAGAGCCGAAGGAGAAGCACAAAGACGAAAAGGACCACAGUCAAGCGUCCAACAACUUGUUCAACCGAAAAAAGAAGACGAAGAGUUCAAUAUUUCUCUAGUCUCAUCUUCCUAAUAAGAACUCAUAUUCUGUAAUAAAAUUAUUAUUAAAAAACAAUAAUAAGCAGAAAUCAGUAAAAAAGGAAACAAAAAAAUAGAAAGAUAAUAAUCUAACUGUUUUUAAACAAUAACAACUUAAUUUUAUCUAUUCAUUGUAACUAUCAUUCCUCCAAUGGCACGUAUAUAACCACAAGCAUUCUCGAUUAUCGCAACGCACUGAACUUCACUGCUUCACUCGCUUUCUUCUCUCUGUUUUUCCAUUUCAGCGAAAAUGCCAGGUCUCACAGCACCUUCUGAUUACUCCCAGGAGCCUCCGCGUCACCCUUCUCUUUCCGUCAACGCCAAGGCAAGCCAAUUUAUUAUCCUUUUUCUCUCUCUCUGUUCCCCAAUUUUCGCAAACUCUAAAUACCAAUCGUCGCUGCGUUUUUUCCUUUUCCCUCUCAGACACCGUUCAAUGCGGAGCCACCGCGUUCGGCGUUGGUUUCCUCCUACGUUACCUCUUCCGAUUUCUUUUACAAGAGGAAUCACGGUCCAAUUCCCGUCGUUGAGGACAUAAACAGGUUUCUUCAUCGCUGUGCCUUAAUUAUGUAGGUGUUAGUUUAUCUUGCUUUGUGACGCGUUUGGUUGUGUUGAGCAGGUACUCCGUGUCCGUGUCCGGUUUGCUGGAGCGUCCCAAACAGAUCAUGAUGAAAGAUAUCUGGUUAGUGUGUGUGUGUGUGUGUGUUUGGUAUAGCUAAUGGUUAAACUUGUACAUUGAAUGUCGUAAUUUGAGCUAGGAUUUGCCAUGCGUGGCACGAUUUGAGGUUGAAUGUUGGCUAUUAUGUCAAAUUAGUCACUUAAUUUUGCAGCGUUGGUCAAAUUAGUCCUUGAAUGAUGUGAACUAUGCCUAAGGUUUUUGGCUGAUGAGCAUGGUUUUAAAGUACAGUCUCGGUUGUGGUUUGGUCGCAUCUCUUAUAUUUUGGGAACAAAUGCGGUCGAUGCAGCCAUAAUUAUGAUUGUUUUGACAAUGUGGCCAUAAUUGUGGCUGUGGACCGUUUUAAAAGCCUUUUUGAUGGCUAAAAUGCAUAUUAAGAGUGUUGAACACACCCUAUUUGAUUAUUCGAAUGCUAUAUUUUCACUUUUCUUUUACGUUUUAUACUGUCAGAUUCAUUCCAUGCAGUACAUUCGGCUGUUCCACUGUUCUGUUAUCAAUCUUCAGAAAUGGAGUUCAUGCACUUAGUUAUGACUUAUUGUUUUAUUUCACGAGCCUUGUAUAUUGUCCAUUUCUGGUUUUAAAUAUAACUAUGUUACUAAACAUUAUUAUACGAUUUAUUUCAAUCUAUAUUUUUCAUUGUGACUAAGUUUUAUGAUUUGAUAUCAUUUAUGAUUCACAAUUCACAAAUUAGUUGGACAGUCAGGAUUCAACAAUCUUGCUUUAAAAAAUUAUUUGAUUAUUUACUCAGUAAAAAUUGGAUAAGUCGUAAUAGUGACAUUUCAUGUAUCCAAGAGUUAUUAACAACACCAACCUGCUCUGAGAAAAUAAUUUGGGUUUUUUAAUAUUUGUCAUGUUUACAAUGAAAUGAUCAUGUUAUUUGAUGACAGGAUGCUCCCAAAGUAUAAUGUCACUGCUACAUUACAGGUGUGUGNNNNNNNNNNNNNNNNNNNNNNNNNNNNNNNNNNNNNNNNNNNNNNNNNNNNNNNNNNNNNNNNNNNNNNNNNNNNNNNNNNNNNNNNNNNNNNNNNNNNNNNNNNNNNNNNNNNNNNNNNNNNNNNNNNNNNNNNNNNNNNNNNNNNNNNNNNNNNNNNNNNNNNNNNNNNNNNNNNNNNNNNNNNNNNNNNNNNNNNNNNNNNNNNNNNNNNNNNNNNNNNNNNNNNNNNNNNNNNNNNNNNNNNNNNNNNNNNNNNNNNNNNNNNNNNNNAAUUUCCAUAGCAACUUGGAUGCCACUUGAGUACUUAGCUACAAAAUAAAUCUCUACCCUAAUAGAUUUCAUAUUCUAAUCACUGUUUCAUUAUAUUUGCCUUUUUCAGCCAUAUGGGGUGGUGCCAAAUUGUCUGAUGUUCUAGAACUUGUUGGAAUUCCAAAGUUGACUAGUGUAACUCAAUUUGGUGGAAGACAUGUGGAGUUUGUAAGCGUUGAUAAGUGCAAGGUGAUGGCUAUGGCUCAAAUGUUUACUCCAGAUACAUUGACUUCAUUUUGAUUAUUUGUACAUAUUCAUUGAAGUGUUGUAUUAUUUUUUUCAAAAUUACAAAAUCUGAUAGGAGGAAAAUGGAGGCCCAUACAAGGCUUCAAUACCACUUAGUCAGGCCACAAAUCCCGAAGCAGACGUUCUUCUAGCUUAUGAAAUGAAUGGUGAAGUAAGUACCUUUGACUACGCUAUCUUCCUGCAGCACUAAAGUUUUCAAGAAUUUUUUAUUAUCAGAUUUCAUUACCUUGGGGAAGAAACAAACAUAAAAGGUUCUCUGUUCAUGCCAUGCUGUAGGUUUCUGACAUCUUUACUAGAAGUACUGCAGGUUUCAUUGUUUAAUUUGUUUGUAAGAUAUUAAAUGAAUAUUGUUUAUUACAUGAAUGGUUUUCUUUUUCUGUUUUUUGUAUUUUUGGUCAUUGAUGAACAUUGAUGACAGGGAAUAAAAACAGGAACGGGUAACGUAGCAUCAAAGGUUAUUGAACAAAUUAAUGAAUUGAUUAUUUGACUUAAAGAAAUAAGAUUGAAGAGACAUGUAGGAACAAGGAGAACAAAUCUUAAGUUUUAGGAAAGAAAAAGGGAAACUUGACCGAUUCCUUGAGAAACAACUUUAGAUCCAUAAGCUAAGGUUAUAAAAUGAGGAAUUUUAGGAAAAGAAAGGAAAGAGAACAUAUAGAGGUAUUGCCAGAAAUAUGAUCAAAAGCACUUGAGUGAAUUAUCCAUAGACUUUGACUUUCCACUGAUUGUGAAAUGUAAUUGUUGACAAAUUGGUUUUUGUAGAUGAUUGUGCUAGGCUGUUGAAUUUAAACCUCAAAUAUUAUUGAUAUUCCUUAUCAGAAAACUUUAGUUCAACAACCUAAGAUUUUGAGAUAUUGGCUAUCUUGUUAGGAAAUCUAUGGAAAAGGUAGCAGUUCUCUUGGGUAAGACCCACUUUUUAACAAUAUGUGCAUUGAGGAUGUCCUUUACCACCACAUCCUCCUCUAAUGCCACAAACUUCUCUUCCACAUGUAGAUACCAUAAUAGAGGAUUCAGUAGAUCCUUGAAAAUUUCCACCUUUAAGAGUUGAAAAUAAUAGAGGAUUCAGUAGAUCCUUGAAAUUUUCCACCUCUAAGUGUUGGAACAUGAAGAAAAGUCAGUCAUGCCACUAUAGGUAGUUAUGCAUGUCUGGAGAAGAUUUAAACCCUACAAAGGAGAUCAAAUGGAGGGUAGCCCUGUCACGUAAAGCUAGGAGGUCAAGAAAAACUAUAGGCAAAGUCAUUAUGAAGGAUUUAGUAGUCAAUGAUUUGUCUAAUGACUACAGAUGUGAUUAACAGUUGCACGUUAUCAUUGCGGUGUUGUUGGAACAAGGUAGCCAACCCUACCUGGUGGGAAAGAGGCUUCAUUACUUCGGUUGUAUUUAGCAUCACAAUCCAGAAAAAAUUCUACACCUCUUCGAGACCAUAACCUACGAAAAGAACAUGAAUACUAGAAUGCUUUUAUAACUGGAUUUUGAAUUAGAAACUGCGAAAAGAAAUUCAAAAUAUAAGCACCAGAAGGGUGGUCAUAUUUUUUACUUUUAUUGAUCUAAAAUAUGAGGGAAAUGAUUAUUGUUCAUAAUUGUUAAACCCUAGAUAAGGGAGAAACAUUGAGUUGAAACCGCGAGUUUCUAAGACAACAUGGGUGCUUUAUUUAUAUUAAGAAAAAGAAAUCAAUAUAAUAAAUAGAUUGUGUUAUUUAUGCCAACAAGUAGGUCUGGCACUAGUCUAUGGACUUUGAACUGUCAUACAUCUGAUCUAAAUAAAGUAUCUUUAAUUUAGAAUAUUUAUUGAGUUUCCUCUUUCCUUUUUUCCUACUUCUUUACAUGUAUCCAAUAAAUUCAUAGUAGAAUAAAUAAGAUUAGCUAUUGAAUAGAUUUCGCAAAGUUUAAAACAAUUACUUUCUUCUAGGUAACGAGAUGAACAUCCAGGGGGUAUGCAUGACUACUAUUCAUUAUAGACUUUGUCAUUGAACCAUAACUAUCUUUAAUCUUUGUCUUUCCUUUGUAACAGAAUUAUACAUUAUACUUUCAGUGUGAAUUUACUUCUGGAUUUUUCUUUUGGCUUUGAAUGGUGAGGUAUAUUAUGUAAUUAUUUUAGUUAGUGUUUUUAGCUCUGUUUAAUGCCCCUUUCAUUAGCCUCUUAAUAGGGAUCAUGGGUAUCCAUUACGUGUGGUUGUUCCUGGUGUCAUUGGAGCUCGAUCUGUUAAAUGGCUGGAAGAGAUCAAUAUCAUUGCAGAGGAAUGCCAGGUCUAAUAUAUUAUGUAGAGUUGUAUUGAUAUACCAAACAUUUACUAUUCAAAAUGCCCUAUAACUUCAAAUUAUCAUGUAUCAGGGUUUUUUCAUGCAAAAGGACUACAAAAUGUUUCCACCAUCAGUUAACUGGGAUAAUAUUGAUUGGUCUACCCGCAGACCCCAAAUGGAUUUCCCAGUUCAGGUAUUUUGAUUAUUUUACUGUUUCUGGCUUCCUUUUUAAGUAACAUAAAACCUGUCAGUUAGUAUUUUUAAGUCCCGUUUAGUACAUAUAAUUUGUUGCAUGUUGAGUAAUCAGGUCAUGAUGAACCAAGUAGAACAAGUUUGUUUGUUUUUUACCUCUUUGAAACUUUAGCAAUGGUGACAAAAUGGUAAUUUGUUUACCCAGGUGUGUGUGUGUGUGUGUGUGUGUGUGUUGGUAUAAGGUUGUGAAGGAAUACAAACUCUUUCUGUUACUCUGCUUUUUGUAGCAGAGUAGGUGUUGUGUCUUAGGAUUCCCGUUUCUUGAUUUCCUAACAAAAACUAAUACUUAAUAUUGUUGUGGCAGUGUGUUAUAUGUUCUCUAGAAGAUGUGAGCACAAUAAAGCCUGGGAAGGUUAGUUUAUUUAAUCAUGUGUAUACCUGGUUGAAUGAGUUUCUCCAUAAGUUCCUUUUAGGAGAAGAAAAAUUGAAAUUAGCUAAUUCAUAAGCUAAAAGUAGCUUAUGCAUGAGCCAAUUUGUAGAUGCUCUCUCUCAUAUAGCUUCUCUAAUUUUAGCUUAUUGAGAAAUCAAAUUUGUUUUUUAUUCUUAUUUUUCUUCCCUUGAAGAGUUUACUGAGAAACUGGUCCAAACCGGCCUAUGAUGGGCUAUUCAUGAAUAUUUGGGAAGCAUUAAUUCGUCUUUUCUUUUUUUUGAGUUACAUGAAUGUGUUUUUAUUAGUCACUAUGAAGUUCCAAAACAUAUAAAUUUUCUUUGCUUUUAUUAGUCACUAUGAAGUUCAAAAACAUCCCUGUAUUUGACUUUUUCUUCAGAAUAUAUUGUUCUGGUUCCUUGAUCGAUUCCCAGUACUGAGAAAAUUAUUUUUGUUUUCCUCUUAUGUAAAUUCAAAUAAUAUUUUUAUUUGAAGUUUCCUGAAAAUGAAAACACGUCCACAAUCUUUCUUUGCACAAAUGAAUUUUCAAUACACACCUAUCCAUCUACCUUAACUCAAAUUUUGGCAUAUAUUCCAUUUGAUGAUUUUUCGCAAUUUUUUUCUUACAUUUUUGUCCUUGUUGUAAUUGACUGAAAUCUUAAUUCUUGCAUAUCGUGUGCAGGUAAAAAUUAGUGGAUAUGCCUCCUCAGGAGGUGGCAGAGGCAUUGAGAGAGUAGAUGUCUCUAUUGAUGGAGGCAAAACAUGGAUGGAAGCUUCAAGAUUUCAGAAAAGUGGUGUUCCCUAUAUAUCAGACCAUGCCAGCAGUGACAAAUGGGCAUGGGUAUUCUUUGAAGUCACGGCUGAUAUUCUUCAGAGCACUGAGAUAAUUGCAAAAGCGGUAUGUCGUCCCAUUGUUGUGAUUCUAGUAUCUUUUCUAAUGUACUUAAUGAGUCUGUAAAUCUGUUGUUAACAUGUAUAGAUGUAUCAUGUACGACCACGAUGGUAGGAUAAUGGUCAUUCAAUUCAAAUUUAAGUGGUUAAAAGUCAUCUAUUGUUGGGGUUAGCAAUUAACCCCAACCUUUGUACCAAUAUACUGGAUACAAAGUUGUGUCAUGCUCCAUUCUCAAUCAAUACCAUGACUCUUUUUUUCAGCCUUUGAUUGUUCCAGUGUUUUUACUGUAGGCGUGUAUGGAUUAGUGUUGAUCUGUAGGUAAGUUGUGAGUUUGUUUUAGGUGAAAUGCAAGCAUUUGGAUGGAUUAUUUAUUGUAAAUUGGAUCCAUGAUGUUUACAAUGCCAUGUGUAUAAUCAAUUAUAAGCUUUCCAUAAUUGAUUAUGUAUUUACAUAAUGUAUUAUGCAUGACAAUGAUCGAUUAUGUAGAAUAUUUAGAGUUAAAUGUCGGAGGCAAUGUGCUUUGCUGAUAUAGAUUCUACCUGAUAGUACCAUAGAAGAAUGUGUUGACUUAGAAGAGGAGGUAAGCAAAGUGGAAGGAGUAGGUUUAACCCUUGAGGAGGACCUUCAAGCUCAAGAUGCUAAGUUAAACGGAAUAGAGAUUUUAUUAAUUAAAAGAACAAAGGUUACACUGAAGAAUUUACAGGAUCAGUGUAGUUGUCUGAGUGACAGCUGUAUAACUAACUACCUAUAUUAACACCUUAGUUGACUAUAAUACUUAACAACCUAGUCAUUGUGUAAUUGACUUAACUACUUUGCUAACAACUAACCGCCCAAGAAGUUGAAUAACUGCUAUUCUAAUACUAUAUUCACACCAUUUUCAUUAUGGUUCAGAGGGAUCACCCCUCUAAUUUAGUCGGGGAUAUUUUGUGACAUCUCACCUUUUGUCUAGUUUGCAGGUAGAUUCUGCUGCAAAUGUCCAGCCUGAAAAGGUUGAAGACAUUUGGAACCUGAGAGGGAUUUUGAACACUUCAUGGCAUCGGGUAAAAGUCCAAGCAAGUCACUCAAACCUGUAAAAGUAGCACCAACAUUCCAAUACAAUAUUUGAUGUUGGGCACCUACAAAUAUCUCUUCUUGCACUUACCUUUGAGCACUCAAAACACCGAACAAUGCAUCUAGGCAUCGCGAUAAGCUAUGUAAGCUAUAGGAAAGGUGUUAUAAAUAAGUAAUCGCUUUACUUUAGUUUUGCAGAGUUUUACAUGGAAUAUCUGCUACUCCUUCUCUUCAAGGAAAUAAUUUGAGAUCUUAAUCAUGAUGCAUUUGCUGUUCACCCAUUUUAUCAUUUUCCCCGCACCUUAAAUUGUGUCACAUCUACGCAUUUGAUUUAUUGUUAUCCUAGUAAAUUAUCAUUCUGAACUUUGAAAAAUAGAAUUGAUGUUUUUGAAACAGUUAUUAGACCAGUAAAAAAUAGUAUGAAUAAGUAACGAACAAAUCUGUAUUACAUGAUUCAUCCGCUACCACCACUGAAUCAACAAAUCAUGAUCCGCUACAUGGUUAUAGAAAUCAGUCAUGUCUGUUUUAGUUUGUUACGUUUCUUUUAUUUUUUAUGUAAAAGAAACAUUGUAUUCAAAACUUGAAUGAGAAUAUACAUAUACUCAGUAAAUUUCUUUCCAGUUUUCUUAUGAUAUCUCUAGCCCCUCCUUUUCUCUAGGAGCUAUGUUGUGCAACUCUCCAGAAAUUCAAAUUUAGAAUCGGGAAAUGGUGCAAUCACUAUCCUAGACCCUAUUCUUAGGUUUAAAUGAUGCCCCAACCAUUCUUGGGCAAUAAUGAUGCCCCAACCUCUUUGAUCGCGAACAAGAGAUACAGAUUUGUUGAAGAAGCUCCUGGUGCCACCUGUUAUAGAUUCACACUAUUUUUCUUGGAAAAGAUGCAACUAAUGAAUCGUGAAUUCCAUCUCCUUAUCAAUAGGAGAGUGUUGUUUUCAUGGAAAAUGUUAUAGACAUCUGGUCUGAUUUAAAAGAAUGAUUCUUACAAAGAGAUUUGAUUCGUGUUUCAGAGCUUCAACAAGGAAAUCCAUAAUUUCAAAUGAGGACCUCUCGGUGUAACUGAAUUUUCCACUAAGCUUAACAAGCUGUGGGAGAAGCUUGAAAGUUAUAGAUCGAUUCUUACUUGCACUUGUCCUAUUCGAUGUAAUUGCCAAGUGUUGAGUAAUGCAAAAAAUUAUAGACUUCAAGAUACAAUUAUUCAGUUUCUGAAUGGUUUGAAUGACUAUCUUAGUACUGUCAAAUCUCAGAUAUUGUUGAUGGACUCUUUACCUUCUCUGAACAAAGUUUUUUCUAUCAUAAUUCAACGUGAAAGGCAUGGUAACCUAAGUAUUGGUGAAGAGAAACAAAGUGUUUGCUGGAAACAUCGAGAACUUUUGCAGAGGCAAAGGCAAUAACAGUUGGGGACGUGUCUCAGAAAAGCUUUGUUCCUAUUGUGGAAAGAAUGGGCAUUGUUAACGUGUGUUAUAAGAAACAUGAGUAUCCUCUGAAUUUUGGUUCAAAGAAUAAUUUACAGUGCACAAUGUUGUCUAGGAAAAGAUUGAGGAGAAUCAGGACCAACCAAGAAACGAGGAUUCAUGUAGUCCUCAACAAGUAUUGAAUGACUUGAAUAGAAACUUGCUUACAUUAGUACUCCAAUUAAGUUUGCUAGCUUCUUCAUGCCACACUUCAAAUCAUGUCAGCAUUAGCAUGCCUACACAAUCCCAUCUAUCCUUAGAUAAAAUUCUAUAUUUUAUCUUGUCCUUCAUGUCAAUAUUCUAACUCCUCGAUAUUAGAUUCAUGAGCCAUAGAUAACAUAUAUUGUUCCUUGAUAUUAUUUGAUAUUGUCAAUAUUGUUAACACCUUGUAGUUUUGAUUUAGUGCUUAAAUUAACAAGAUAUGUAGUUGUGUCUUAUAUGACGAAUAUUAUAUCAUACAACUGCACAAUUUCUUAGAUGAUAAGAGCGCCAUGUUGAUCAACCACAUUUUCUAAUAAUUAAAAAUUAAAGAUGAUCAGACGAUAAGUAUAGCUAAAUGAUCAAGCUAACACUUUCAUGAAAAAUAUUUUUGAAGUUUGAGUUUGUAUUGCAAAAAAUGUAUUCUACAUCUAUUCCCAAGGAAGUAUGCACCAAACAACAACAUUUAAUUAUAUCUUGGGAGUAGAGCCAAAGCUGCAACAUUUGUCAAUUCUCCUAACACAAGUUUUUUUUAACUCUAGCCCAGCUAUAUGUCCUCUCCAGUGUAUUUAACCAUUAUUUGGUGAACAAGUUAUGCUAUGGAAGAAGAUAAGUAUUGUCAUCUAUCUGAAAGAUUAAGAGAAGAGAAAUUAAUGUUACAUGUCAUGCAUAAUGUUUCUCAACGCAAAAACUCAUUAAAAGCUAGUAGAAGAAGAAUAAGACAAUCAAGAGAGUUCAAAGCUACUCAAAAACUAAAAAAGGAAAUACAAAGACUACUUUUUCCAAGCCUAUAUAAAGAUAUGCUUCAAAGAGAAGAAAAGCUUUGUAAGAGUACAAUUUGUAUUUAUUCCUACAAACUAGUAGAGAGAACUUAAACCUUUUAUACAUUGAAAGACGUUACCCUCUCUAGUGAGCGAAAACAAUGAUAUAUUAAUCGCUCAAAUUUUGUAACUAUCUUGAGUCAGGAGUGACUUGUGAAAGAACACUUAGUGGUUAGCCAUAAGUGGUUUGAUUAAAGAACACUUUGUGGUCAUUCAAGAGUGACUUAAAUAAAUAAUACUUUACUGAGGUUAGUCAAGAGUUGCUAUAAGCCCAAAGAAUACUCACUGUUAACCAGGAGUAGCUUAAUCAAAUAAUACUAAUUUAUAUUUCGUAGCGGUACUCUAUUCAAUGAAACUUUAUUGGUCAAGAACUAGACGUAUUGCGACAGACGAACCAAUAUAAAAAAUAUUAUGUAAAUACUCUCCUUCAAUAAUGGAAGUUGCAAAAGUUAAAAGUCUUUUAUUUUUGUAAAUACUGAAUCUAUCGUCUAAUUGUGAAAUAUUAAAUAAUGCUUAUGAAAAAGAAAUAUUUUUUUAAAACAAAAUUUAACUCUCCUUUCUUGUUUUUUUUUUCACAUAUACCUUUCAUCAAAAUAAAUUUGUUAGUGUAAUUCUACCUAAAGGGCAUAAAACUUUGCCCAAUCACUCUGGUAUAAUAGUUUUCUCUCUUGGCCUUAUUUUGACAAAUGAGUUAUUUCUCCCAGAAUUCAAUUUUUACCUUUUUUUUCAUGUCUAAAUUAUGUCAAAAUUCUAAAUGUUUUGUAAGUUUUUUGUUUGAGAAUUGUCAAUUCUAGAAUAUGAAAUCAAUGAGGAUGAUUGAUUUGGCUAAAUAAGUGGGAGGUUUGUAUUUACAGAUGAUAUAUACUUAAAAGAAAAUGGUAGAGGCUCAGUUCAUCAAUGCUACAACAGAAAGCAUACCAAAAUGAAGUUUAUGGCACUUUAGGUUGGGGCACCUUUGAAAUGAGAGAUUAAGAACUAUAUUUAGGAAAGAUCCUAACAUUUUUAUAAACAAGGAUGUUAUUUAUGAUAUUUUCAAUUUGGAAAAACAAAUGAAAUUGUCAUAUUUGAUUAGUAAGAAUAAAGCCUUUGAAAUUUGUGAGUUGUUACAUUUUGACAUAUGGGUUUCUAUCAAAUAAAUUUUGUUCAUGGUCACAAGUACAUUCUUAUUGUCGUAGAUGACUAUAGCAUAUUUGUGUGGGUUGUUUGAUGAAAUCCAAAUUCGACGCACACAUUUGCAAAAUCAUGUAGAUAUGUUGGAAAUGUAAGAAAUUAUGUAAAUUAAUUUCUAUAAAGUGACUCACAUGACUUAGAGUUUGGGCUUUGGGCCCAAAUAUGAUUUAAUAAUAAUAAUAUAAUUAAAGGCUCAUUGGUUAACAUGAGAAAUAUAUAUCUGAUGAUAUACCUAAUGAAAACCGACAUCUGAUGGAGAUUGGGAACUAAAGGCUAUAGGGUUUUGUCUCUGCAAAUAAUAGUUGUCUCAAUAUUAACCAUCACGAAAGUGUGUGACAAGAACAGAAUUGCUAAGAGAUAGAUUGGGACAGAGGAGAUAAAGUAAUUGCUCAAGUAGGAUCACUCAUGGAUCAAGGUAAGUGCAUAUUCCUUCUUGAUUGUAUGGAUAUAUGUGAGAAUCAUGAUAUGAUAAGAUCUGUAUAAGAACAUUUUUGUAUGCGUUCAUAAUCAUGUUUAAUCGUAUUUUGAUUUACAUGUGGUAUCAUAGCGUCGUUGCUCUUGUUGUGAUUCUCCAUUAAUAUUUUUCUAAAAUCAAAGAACCCUAAUUUUAAAAUAUUCCCAAUUUAAAAACUCUAAUUUUAAAAUUAGGAUUUAUAGAUUAAGGUUUCCAUUCCUCUAUAAUAUAUCUCUAAUUGUCCUAAACCAUAAAAAAUCAAAGAACCCUAAUUUUAAAAUUAGGGUUUAUGGAUUAAGGUUUCCAUUAACAUAACCCUAAUCUUCCUUUACCCAACACCAUUAACGGUGUUAAAAACCCUAUGAACCUAUUAGUGGGACCGCAAGCCUUCGCCGCUUCCGUGAACCUUGUUUGCACGAUGGUAGUGUUGUGACGGUGAUAGGAGCCUUUCGAAAAGAAAGGCGUGAUGAAGAUGAUGAUGUGGAUUCAAUUCCUGAUGAUAUUAAUGAAAAGCAUGAAUUGUAAUAUAAUAUUGAAUUCAAUUUAUGAAUAGCAAUGAAUUCAUUCCUGCACCUUAUGUCAUUCAUUCAUCUUAUGUUACUUUAUUUUUAAUUCAAUUACUGAAACUUAUGAAUUAAUUUCCUUACCUCAUUUAUUUUAUUAAUGAUUUCAAUUAAAAUUUUAAUUAAAGUGAGGAAUGAAAAAUUAUUUUUUCCACUUUAUGUAUUAAUUUUAAUGUAAUUUAAUUUGCAUUAAAUUAAAGUUUUAAUGAAAUUUUAUUAUGUUAUAAUGUAAUUUAGUUUGCAUUAAAUUAAAGUUUAAUUAAUUGAUUGAAAGUGAGGAAUGGAAAAUUAAUUUUUCUGCUUUAUGUAUUAUUUUUAAAUUAUGAUUUUGGAAUUAUUGUAUGAUAGAUUUGUAAUCACCAAAGUGAUCAAAUCUUUAUGUUUUAUUUAAUUCCAAAUUAUGGAUGAAUUUUAUUUCAAUUAAUGAUAUGAUUUUGGAAUUAUUUGUAUGAUAGAUUUGUAAUCACCAAAGUGAUCAAAUCUUUAUGUUUUAUUUAAUUACAAAUUAUGGGUGAAUUUUAUUUCAAUUAAUGAUAUAAUUUUUGGAAUUAUUUGUAUGAUAAAUUUGUAAUUACCAAAGUGAUCAAAUCUUUAUGUUUUAUUUAAUUCUAAAUUAUGGAUGAAUUUUAUUUCAAUUAAUGAUAUAAUUUCUGAAGUUAUUUGUAUGAUAGAUUUGUAAUCACCAAAGUGAUCAAAUCUUUAAGUUUUAUUUAAUUUCAUAUUACUAAUAAAUUUUAUUUCAAUUACCUAUAGAAUGGAUGCUAAAUUAUUUAUGUAUGGGUAAAUGGAAAUUCAUUAUUAUAAGACAUUUUUGGAUCACCCAAAGGUUGAUUAGUUGUCCUUAUAAUUAAUGGAUAUGAUUGUUGGUAGUGAGUAUGUGUUAUUAGUUUUGCUUGUAUAUCCAAAGAUAACAAGUGUUUCUAGUUAAUGCAUAUAUCUUACCAAAUAAAGUUAAUACUAUUAGCAUCAUUAUGUUUUGUGUAUUAAUGAAUCUCCCAAAGGAGAACAUUAGUAUACAUAGAAUGUUUUCUGAAUCUGUAUUGUAUGUUUAGUUUAUGACUCAAAGUAUUAAUGUUAAGCAUGUGUGAUCAAGUAUAUGUUCCUGUAUCUUUAUGCGAAUGAGCAUAGCAAGUAAUAUUAAGUCUGCUCUUCCCAAAACUGAUAAUGCAAAAGAAUUUAUGAAAUUUGUGGAAGAGCGCUCCCAAACUACUGAUAAGUCUCUUGUUGGGACAUUAAUGAGUACAUUAACCACCAUGGAAUUUGAAGGUUCUCGUACUAUGCACGACAUGUCAUUGAAAUGACUAAUAUUACGACAAGACUUAAGUCUAUAGGAAUGGCAAUGGAUAAGAACUAUAACAUGUUAGUACAGGAAGAGACUAGAUUGAAGAAUCGAGGAAACCACUCUAUACACUAUGUGAACAAUCAGGGAGCUGGAAAGAAGGUCUUCAAGAAACAUGGAAAGGGUAAAGGACCACUGAAGAUAAAUGAGUCCUCUACUAAGCUCCAGAAGAAGAAUGGCAAAUGUCAUUUCUGUAAGAAAUUUGGACAUUUCCAAAAGGAUUUUCUGAAACGUAAGGCUUGGUUCGAAAAGAAGGGUAAGCAUAAUGCUUAUUAUGUAUGUUUUGAAUCAAACCUAACUGAAGUUCCAUAUAAUUCUUGGUGGAUUGAUUCUGGAUGCACAACUCAUGUUUCUAACAUGAUGUAAGGAUUCCUUUCAACCCGAACCAUAAAGCCAAACAAAAAGUUUGUCUUCUUGAGGAAUAGAGAGAAGGUUCCAGUGGAAGCAGUCGGGACUUAUUGUUUAAUCCUCGACACUGGAUUUUAUUUAGACUUGAUGGAUACUUUUUAUGUACCUAGUAUAUCUAGGAAUUUAGUUUCAUUGUCUAAACUUUAUGUUGCCGGAUACUCUUUUAAAUUUGGGAAUGGAUGUUUCAGUUUAUAUCAGCGUACCUAUUUGAUUGGAUUUGGUACUCUUUAUGAUGGAUUAUAUAGAUUGAACCUUGAUAAUCUAUAUGCUGAAACUCUUAUGACCUCGCAUCAUAAUGUUGGCACUAAACGUAGUUUAGUGAAUGAAUGUUCUGCUUUCUUGUGGCACAAACGUUUUGGGCAUAUUUCCAAAGAAAGGGUGGAGAAGAUUAGUAAAGAAUGAAAUACUUCCAAGUUUGGAUUUUAUUGAUCUGAAUGUAUGUGUGGAUUAUAUUAAAGGCAAACAAACAAAACACAUAAAGAAGGGAGCCACAAGAAGUACUCAACUUCUUGAAAUUAUACACAUUGAUAUAUGUGGACUUUUUGAUGCAAGUUCUUUCAAUAAAGAAAGGUAUUUUAUCACCUUUAUUGAUGAUUUUUCACGUUAUGGUUAUGUCUAUUUACUGCAUGAAAAAUCACAAGCAGUGAAUGCCUUAGAAGUUUAUAUAAAUGAAGUGGAAAGGCAAUUAGACAGAAAGGUGAAAAUUGUCAGGUCAGAUAGAGGUGGUGAAUAUUAUGAAAAGUAUGAUGAAAGUGGACAACACCCUGGUCCGUUUGCUAAGUUCCUUGAGAGACAUGUUAUUUGUGCUCAAUACACAAUGCCAGGUACACCACAACAAAAUGGUGUUUUAGAAAGGCGUAAUCGAAAAUGGAUAUGGUUAGGAGCAUAUUAAGUAAGUCAACUGUACCUGUUUCAUUGUGGAUGUAUGCUUUAAAAAUUGCCAUGUAUUUGUUGAACAGGAUUCCUAGUAAGGCAGUUCAAAAUACACCUUUUGAAUUGUGGACAGGAAGGAAACCCAAUUUCAAACACCUGCAUGUUUGGGGAUGUCAGGCAGAAGUUAGAAUAUACAAUCCAUAAGAAAAGAAAUUGGAUGCAAGAACAAUCAAUGGAUAUUUCAUUGGUUAUCCAGCAAAGUCAAAAGGGUAUAUGUUUUACUGUCCUACCCAUAACACAAGAAGUGUUGAAUAUGGAAAUGCAUGGUUCAUUGAAAAUGGUGAAACCAGUGGGAGUGAUACUUCACAAAAUGUGGAGAUUAAGGAAGUUAGAGUACAAGUUCCUUUAACUAGUACCUCUACUUCAAGUAUUGUUGUUCCUAACGUAGUUGAAUCACUCAAUGAUGAAGAAAAACAACAAAUUAAUGAUCAUGAAGUUAACAAUGAACCUGUAGUAGAACAACCACAAGAAAUAGUAUUAAGAAGAUCUCAAAGAGAAGGAAGGUCUGCUAUUUUGAAUGAUUAUGUGGUUUAUCUACAAGAGUAAGAAAAUGACCUAAGUAUUGAUAAUGAUCCAAUUUCAUUUUCAAACGCCAUCAAUGAUGAUAAUUAUGAUAAGUGGUUAGAUGCCAUGAAAGAUGAACUUAAAUCAAUGGCACAGAAUGAUGUAUGGGACCUUAUAGAAUUGUCAGAAGGAUGCAAGAGAGUCAGGUGUAAAUGGGUCUUUAAAACUAAACGUGACUCUUAUGGCAAUAUCGAACGUUACAAGGCCCGACUUGUUGCCAAAGGUUUUACUAAAAAAUGAUGGCAUUGAUUAUAAGGAAACAUUUUCACUUGUUUCUAAGAAAGAUUCCUUUAGAAUUAUUAUGACAUUAGUAGCUCAUUAUGACCUUGAGUUGCAUCAGAUGGAAGUCAAAAUUGCUUUUUUGAAUGGGGAUUUAGAAGAGGAUGUUUAUAUGGACCAACCAGUGGGAUUCAUUGAAGAAGGAAAGGAACACAUGGUGUGUAAACUUAAGAAAUCAAUAUACGGGCUUAAACAGGCUUCUAGGCAAUGGUAUCUUAAGUUCAAUGAUAUUAUUGUGUCCUUUGGAUUUAAGGAAAACAUCGUUGAUUGGUGUAUAUAUCUGAAGGUCAGUGGGAGAAAGUUUAUAUUCCUGAUUCUGUAUGUUGAUGAUAUCUUGCUUGCAACUAAUGAUCUUGGUUUAUUAAGUGAAGCUAAGAAGUUUCUCUCUAAUAACUUUAAGAUGAAAGACAUGGGUGAGGCAUACUAUGUGAUAGGAAUAGAAAUAUUCUAUGAUAGAUCAUAAGGACUGUUAGGUUUGUCUCAUAAAACAUAUAUUAAUAAAGUUUUAGAGAGAUUCAGAAUGGAUAAAUGUUCAACAUCUCCUGUUCCAAUACAGAAAUGAGACAAAUUUAGUCUCAUGCAAUGUCCAAAGAAUGAUUUGGAACGAAAACAGAUGGAGAAUAUACCUUAUGCAUCUAUUGUUGGGAGUUUAAUGUAUGCUCAAACUUUUACACACCAGAUAUUAGUUUUGCAAUUGGUAUGCUUGGUAGAUACUAGAGUAAUCCAGGAUUGGAUCAUUGGAAAGCUGCAAAGAAAGUUUUAAGAUACCUACAAGGAACGAAGGAUCACAUGCUUACUUAUAAAAGAUCUGAUCAUCUUGAGGUGAUUGGAUAUACAGAUUCAGAUUUUGCUGGAUGUGUGGAUACAAGAAAAUGUCUACUUUUGGUUAUGUGUAUCUUUUAGUCGGAGGAGCGAUUUCGUGGAAAAGUGCGAAGCAGACAAUCAUUGUUGCAUCCACCAUGGAGGUUGAAUUUGUGGCAUGCUUUGAGGCCACAGUUCAGGCUAAUUGGUUGCGAAGUUUUGUUCCAAGACUUGGAAUUGUUGACAGUAUUGCCAAGCCGCUGAGAAUUUAUUGUGAUAACUCCGCAACUGUCUUCUUUUCUAAAAACGACAAGUAUUCCAAAGGUGCUAAACAUAUGAAAUAGAAAUACUUUGUCGUUAAAGAAGAAGUUCAAAAACAUAGAGUGUCAAUAGAACAUAUUAGCACUGAUCUUAUGAUUGUUGACCCUCUAACAAAAGGGUUACUGCCCAAAACAUUUACUGGUCAUGUUGUAAGUAUGGGUAUUAUGUCUACUAGUGAAUGAUGAAUGUUGUUAUUAAUGCUUAUUUGACACUCUGAGCUCAUUGAUAAAUAAAGCUUCUGAAAUUUAUGUUUUCUACUUUAUGUAUAUGCAUAUAAAUUAUGUUGUGGAAAACAAAUUAUGUUGUUAUUGAUGAAAAAUGACAUUAUGUUUGAACCUAUUAUGGAUUUCUCACUAUAAAGUCAUAUUAAGGAGAAAGAAUGAUAUAGUAGUACAUGGAAGGAAAUGUGUUGAUUGAAAUGACAUGUAACCACCAUGACUCUUAUUAUUUUUGUAUCCUUGAUCUUGAUUAAUGAUAGAAACAAUUUACGUAAGGCCUUUUAAAUGUGCAUUUAUGUAAUUAUUAAAUCAUGAAAGUAUUAUAACUCAUAUGAGUCAAGUGGGAGAAUGUAAGAAAUUAUGUAAAUUAAUUUCUAUAAAGUGACUCACAUGACUUAGAUUUUGGGCUUUGGGCCCAAAUAUGAUUUAAUAAUAAUAAUAGAAUUAAAGGCCCAUUGGUUAACAUGAGAAAUAUAUAUCUGAUGAUAUACCUAAUGAAAACCGACAUCUGAUGGAGAUUGGGAACUAAAGGCUAUAGGGUUCUGUCUUUGCAAAUAAUAGUUGUCUCACUAUUAACCAUCACGAAAGUGUGUGACAAGAACGAAAUUUCUAAGAGAUAGAUUGGGACAAAGGAGAUAAAAUAAUUGCUCAAGUAGGAUCACUCAUGGAUCAAGGUAAGUGUCUAUUCCUUCUUGAUUGUAUGGAUAUAUGUGAGAAUCAUGAUAUGAUAAGAUCUGUAUAAGAACAUUAUUGUAUGCGUUCAUAAUCAUGUUUAAUCGUAUUUUGAUUUACAAGAAAGACAAUACGAAAAAGUAAAAAAGAUAAGAUAUGAUAAUGGUCCAAAAUUUACUUAAACAUAUUUUUAUGCAAAAGAAGGAAUUAUAAACCAAACAUCUUAUGUUGAUUCUCGUGAGAAAAAUGGAAGUGUAGAAAUGAAAUACUACAUUUUAAAUUUGGCUAGAUCUUUGUUGUAUCAAGUUGAUAUACCUAAACAUUAUUGAAGAUAUCUAGUUACACAUGAUGCACAUUAUAAAUAGAAUUCCAAGAAAAAUUUUAUAAAACCAUUCCAAUAUUUUCAUAUUGGUUCUUUUGAUAGUACAAACUACGUCUAAUUCUUAAUCAACUAGUCAAGUUUCACCAAGCAAACUAAUGUUCUAAAGUACAAAGCGGGUAAUAUUUGAACUCAGUCACUUUUAGCUAAAACCCAAGUAUUAUUUGACAAUCAACCACUCUUGACUGAAAAACCCGAAUAUUCUUUGGAACCCAACCACUUUAGCUAAAAUUGAGUAUUGUUUAGAACACGACCACUCUUGACUAAGAAAAAUGAUUUUCUAAUAAUGUGAUCACCAAAUCACAUGUUUUACUCAUUAUGGAGGGAUUGCCUUUUUUUAAUGAUUACUAGGAUAAACACUUUCUCCUAGUUUACUAAUGAACACAAACAAUGUUUUUUUCUUUAAAGCUUUUGGGUGUAGAGAAAAUUUAGCUUCAUUUAGCACUUGCAAAUAAUGUUAUAGUUUCUUUUUUCUCUUAUCGAAACAUGUCUUUAUAUAGGUGCUUGAAGAAUGUAGUCAUUGCAAUCCUUUUUUGGUCAUUGAGUAGCUUUGAACUCAUUUGAAUAUCUUCAUCUCUCUUUUAUCCUUUAUCAAGCUUGAUUGUAGAGAAGCAUUGUAUGCGCUUCAUGAAACAUUAAUAGUUCUUCUCUUCUUCUCAGAACAUCUUUGAUAGUUGACAAUACUUAUCUCUCUAGAAUGCAUAAUCUUUCAUACCAAAACAUGGUAAACAUACACACCAUAUUGGACAGAUGACUAACCCAAAGUUGACAUAUGUUUAUGUCAGGAUAGUUGGCGUACAAUGUAGAUUUAUCUUAUCCUAAGAUAUCUUGAUGUAGACUUGUCUUAAGAGUGGACAUCUUGGCGACAUAUAGUGAAUACUAUAGUAUAAAAUUAAACUUCAAGAAUAUUCUUUAUGUUUGAGUCUAUUUGCACUUAUCACUUAUCAGGCUAAGUGGAAAAUUUGCAUAAUGUUAUAUCGUCAAUCAGACGAAGCACAAACAUUUUUGCAUGAUCUAAUAUUUUUAUACAAUGUCUAUCAGACGCAUCUUCUUCGUGUUUCAUAUUUUGUUUUAUUAAGCACUUAGUCAAAAUCAUAGGGUUGUUGCAGUUUUGCUCUAACACUCACCAAAAUAGACUUACAUCAAAAUACACACAAAACUAAAUAUAUCAUUUCAAACUUCACCACAUGCAUAUAAACAUACUCCUCUACUUAUUGAGUCAAAUCCGUCACCACCCCAAUCGACUACUCUGUCAACCUUCCCUUUAUUCACCCACAAAUCCAACCACCAACUUUUCUCUAAAUAAGCUUGCUAUGUAACAAACUGUGAACUCAAAAAGUCAUCUAGGAUCAGGCGUCCACCAUCACACUUGGCUGAUUACAUCUAUGAAACUCCUACUUGAGCAUCAAAUUAGUUUUCCUUAAGUAUGCCUCAUUUCUUAUCUAAAUUCACGUAUCUUUUUCAUCUAUCUCCUUCACAUCAUUCUUUACCUUUUCUUUGCUCUUUAAGACUGAACCCAAAACCUAUGAAAAAGCUUCCAAAUUCCCUUACUAGAUUAAUGUUAUGCAAGUCGUGUUGCAUGGUGCAUCAAUUGUAUCAUGGUGUAGAUCAGGUAGGCCAAGUUACAAUCGAAUCUUGGUGCUUGAGUUGUUACACUCUUAAGUAAUAUAGCUUAUAGUUUUUGGCUUAAUGGUAAACACUCGAUCCAAUAAGCCAAAAUACAGGCUCUUAAGGAUAACAAAACUUUAGUCUUGGUUGAUUUACUUGUUGGAGUAAUCCCCAUUGAAAAUACGUAGGUAUUCAAAAUCAAAAGGCAUCACAAUAACAUUAGUGAGAUUUACAAAGCAUGUUUAGUGGGAAAAGAACGCACAUUUAUAAAGCUUCGAUACAGAGUGGAGCCUCCACUUUUGUGCCUUGGACACAUCGUCGACAUAGACACGUAGUAUAUGCGUGAACGACGAGAUGCUAGAUACACUUAUUUUGGCCAGACACGACGUUGUCCUUGGAUGUGCCAUAGAUGACAUAGAGCACCCCUUAGACAUGUCACUCACAAAAACCACACAUGAAUCCAUUAUACUUAAAAGAAACAAAAAAUAAAUAGAUAAUCCAGGAACAAAUAAUAUAUUCAUUCCUUAACCAUGAUUUAAAUUAUCUUAGUAUAUCUCAUUUUAAGAGGAAGAUGAGACACAUACAACUCUAUAAAUUACACAAGCAUUACAAAAUAAAAGAAAAGGAAUUAGAAAGAAGAAAAAGAAGAAGAAGAGACGAAAUUUUGUAGCUUUAUUGUGUUGAGUUGAAACCAUGUUAACUUGCACGAAUGCGUUGAGUUGCAACAAACAAAGAAGAAGAAGAAGAAAGAAAAAAAAAAGAAACAAGGAUUUGGAAGAAUAAAAUGUAAAGAAAAUUUUUAACAAAUGUUUUUAAUUAUUUUAUUUAAACACAAUUAGCCCUCUAUAGUAUACUCUCCGCUUAAGAGUUGUUUCUUAGUAAUUUUGAAAUUGUCAAACCGUUGGCAGACUUGUUAAAAUAAGGAGUAUUUUUUAAACUUUCAAACCAUAGACUUGUUAAAUUAGGAACACUUCAUCAUAUUAAUUUAAAAUUAUCAAUUUACUCUUUGUUAAUUCUAAUUUAAACGCAUCAAUGUCAAAUCAUUGCCAUUUUGAAAAUAAUGAAGGCUUGAAAUAAUUUUUUAUUUUCAACUUAUGUUUUUUUUUUCAACUUAAGUUGUGAGAGAAGAAUAUUUUUUUUAUUUAAUUUAUGUUUUUUAGUUUAAAUUUAAAUAUGACUUGAUAUAUAAUUAUAUAAUUAUGUUAUAUUAUGUGUUUUUUUUUAUAAUUUGGAUACUAUAUUUUGAUUUUAUUUUAUUUUUAAAUUACAAAGAUAAAAUUAUAUUUUUUAUUAUUUGAAUAUGUUUUUAAAUGGUAAAUUAAAGUUUUAUUAGAGCAUAAUAUUAUAAAAAAAAUAAACUAAACUUUUACUUAAAAAAAUAAAUAUUAAAGAUAACAUUUUUUACAAUAAUCAUAUUGAAAUUAAAAAUAUAAAAUAACCUUAAAUAACAUAAUAAUUGAAUAUUAUUUGAAAAAUAUAAUGUAUUAUAUUAUAAUUAAUUAAUGUUUUGAGUGAUUCUUUAUUCAAUAGAUUUUAUAUUUGAGUAAGAGUUAAUUUGUUAAAAAUCACGAGAUAAGGAGCUAAAAUUUGUCCAGAUGCGAUCUCGUCAAAACCUGUUGAGUUUAUAAAAUUAGACAAAGAAACAACAUUGAAAAUAGAAAAUUCAAAUAAAAAAGGGUCCCUCUAUCACCUGUAAUUAAUGGAGGAAAUGAAAUAAACAAUGGUGUUAACCAAUACUCUUGAUUGUGAAAUUAGGAGGAUGCUUUAUUUUUCAUAACUACCAUUUCAUUUAGCAAGAAGUCCUUACUAUACAAGUGCAUUUUCAUGUAGUAAUUUUGUCUUGUCUAAAAAAACUCCUCAAAAUACAAAAGAGAGAAAACUAAAUUGUGAGAUAUUGUAAAAGAUGACUUUUAAAUAAAUGACAAUGAAAUUCUUGUGAUUCCUAGCUUAUCUCAGGAUAGACCAGACUUAUAAGUUGUAUGUUUCAAUGAGGAUGAACAAAUAUAAAAGUCAAACAUUGUGAUUGAAAUAAGUUUAUCUUUUGUUAAACCUUUUUUUUUAUAAAUGUCUCUCUUUAUUUUUUUCUUCUUCAUAUUAUGAAGUAUAUACAUUUUAAUAGAUUCAUAAUCAUAUAUAUAUAUAUAUAUUAUCGUAUUAUGUGUUCUAUAAUUUUCAAUUUAAGCUUAUCUUUUUGUCCAUGUAUGAGUCAAAUUUGUGUUUGUGCUUCAAAGAUGGACACAAGUUAUAGAGCUUAAUUAUCUAUAUAUUUUUCUCUUGUUGCUAAGAUUACAAACAUGAAAACACUUGUUGUUUCUUCCAUAAAAGGGUGGUUUUACAUCAACUAGAAGUGAAUAACACAUUUUACAUGAAGAGUUAGAAGAAAACUUUUAUAUGUUAGUUCCUCAAAGUGUAUCUAAUUCUAAUCAAGUGCAUAAGCUCACCAAAAAUUUAUUCAUAGAUUGAAGCAAGCAAACAUUUGGUAUGAUCACCAAAAAUUUAUUCAUAGAUUGAAGCAAUCAAACAUUUGGUAUGAAAGGUUUACAACCAUGUUAUUGUCAUUGUCUUGUUAACAAAGUACAUAAAAUUACUUUAACAAAAUACAAUACUCAUUUGAGCUAGAACUCCCAAUUAAAACUUAAAAAAUAUUGUUAAUCAGUACCUAUUGCACCUACAUAAAAGAUAUUUUAUAAAAGAGAAAUAUUACAAAGACUCUUUUUCAUUAGUUGAAAUUUAUUAACAAUCUCAAUCUUAUUUAAUAACACUCUCCUCUUUUUAUUGUUUUUAAUAAAUUCUAAUCAAUAAAAAAAUAUGUUAAUAAUUUACAUUCCUCUUUUCAUUAUUUUUAAUAAAUUCUAAUCAAUAAAAAAUAUGUCAGAAGCAAUAUUAUGUAAUUAUAGCACUCAUUCUAUAAUUAUGAAAUUUUUGCAAUUACCAAAAUUGUUUCUUGGGCGCAAUUGAUUUGAACGUGACAAAUUCUUUCUGUGCUUCCAUAUUUUCCUUUCCUAAAUUUUUAAAAAUACUAAAAUUAUUUUCAUAUUUUAUUGAUAUUUUUUUAAUUUUAAAAUGUGGAAUUUCAAGACUUCCUAAAUUAUAAAUUUGAGAAGUUAAUACUUGUGAAUUAUUUUUUAUUUUUAUUAUAUAAUAUAAAAUAUAAAAUUUAUAUUUUGAAUUAUAUAAUUCAGCAAAAUUUGUAUUUUGGAUUUUUUAUUAUGAAUGGUACAAUCUAAAAAUUAAAUUUUGUAUUUUAGAUAAUAAGAAAUGAUGAUUUUAUAUUAUGAAUUAUAUUAUAAAUUGUACAAAUCUAAAAUGGAAAAUUUGUAUUUUAGACAACUAAAAAAAGGGUAUUUUGGUAUUUUCGAAAUAUGAGGUGUAGGAAGAAACAGAUGGAGGUCCAGAAAGAAUUGGCUUUUGAAUGUUCAAAGUAGGUGGGCCGUUUGGGAACCGUAAUGGGCCAAUCUGGCACCCAAAACAAAACCCACUGCCCUGAACUUGUCUUGUGUGUGUUCCUUCUCGCUGCACUGCUUCCCCAAUCUUCUCUCUGGCGAUCAAGGUAUCAAAAUCGAAACAGGUACUUUCGCAAAAGUAUCAUCUUUUUACGUACCCAUUUUCGUUUUUGUUUUCACAGUGCCUUCAAUUGCAUUUCCACUUACAAAAGACGUUUAUUUAUCUAUGCUUCAUAACAAAAUGAAUUGGGUGGUGGCUAAGAUCCUCUCUUUGUUGUUUUUAACUUCUCAUUUUAUGGUUUGGAAAUAGCAGGUGUGUUGUGGAAGAUGACUUCUAUUGUUAGGGCUGCAUUGAGAUCCAAGUGCAGUUCAAGUGUUUGUGCACUUGUUCCAGUGAGGUGUUUCUCCACUGAAGCAGCACAGCCACCUCUCAAUUCAACUACCCCUCCUCCAUUCUUUGACGUUGAUCAUUCUGGUACCACCCUAUUUGUGCACUUAUUCUCCCAUUUCUAUUGCUCUUAAACUUUCCUUAGAUUUUAGAGAGAAAAAACUGUUCUACCACAACUGGAGGUUUUAAAUUGCUAUCAUGGUUGUGGUUUUGCCGCAUUCCUUGAUAUUGCGGCAGAUGCAGCCAUAAAGAUGCCACAUAGAGUCCAAAAACCUUGACAUUAUGGCCGAAAUUGUGGUCAGAGUUGCCGACUGAUAUGCAAAACUUGUUGCUGCUGUUACUUUUAGGACCCGCUUGGUGGCCAGGAUAUGAUAUAAUAGGAUAAUAUAACUAUUCUGCCCUGCUUUAAUCAGUUGUCUGGUUCUGUGGUAUAGGAUAUUUAUUUCUAUCAUAGCAACUACGCUACAUGGUCACUACUUCUGUCACAUACUAAUGGACAGCAUUAGUGUCACUACAUCUGUCAUGAUCAUUGUCAAUGUCAUUAGUGUCACUACAUCUGUCAUCAUCAUUGUCAAUGUCACCCUUUUUGUCAUAAGAGACAUUACCACUUUCACC
Molecule: long non-coding RNA, 39071 nt
Filed under: Phaseolus vulgaris (common bean)
Lineage: Eukaryota; Viridiplantae; Streptophyta; Magnoliopsida; Fabales; Fabaceae
Description: long non-coding RNA (PVUL_LNC003328)
Source: RNAcentral